AAACAUUUAUCUUUCCUCUCUGCCUUGUCUCUCCAGAAACUGGAGACACUUGGGUUCUGAGGAGCCUUGUCAGGUAAAUAAAAAGACUGUCUCCUGAUAUAAACAGGAAUCUCAAAGUAUACUGGGGACCUCUAGAAGAAAAAAAAUCCACUUAGAUAAAAUCUGAUGACAGGUUUAUGACAUCUGUAGUCAAUGGACCAAACAUUUAAAAAACAAAUCAGUCUUGGCUAUGUUUAAUAAAAAUGGUAAUAAUUUUAAAAGAAACAUAUAUUAAGGUCUGCAUUUUGGCAUAAAAGAUGUCUUACAAAUGGUUUUAAUUGAGAGAGCUUGAAAUGAAUUACUUUUUCUAGUUAAGAAUAAUCAAAUUUUAUACAUAUAGGAGUCAGUAAAA
This 391-nucleotide long non-coding RNA is filed under the name Bos indicus x Bos taurus (hybrid cattle). RNAcentral's name for it is "lncRNA (ENSBIXG00000014521.1)". Lineage: Eukaryota; Metazoa; Chordata; Mammalia; Artiodactyla; Bovidae. The record is from RNAcentral.